Ribosomal RNA from Lachnospiraceae bacterium, 762 nucleotides. It matches the Rfam family "Bacterial large subunit ribosomal RNA", at positions 2161 to 2925 of the family's 2925-position model. The record is from Rfam. NCBI's taxonomy places the organism in Bacteria, Bacillati, Bacillota, Clostridia, Lachnospirales, Lachnospiraceae.
AGUGCGGACGCCAGUCUGCACGGAGCCGCUGUUGGGAUACCACCCUUCCGGCACCGGGUUUCUAACCCGCGCCCGUAACCCGGGCGGGGGACAAUGCCUGGCGGGGAGUUUGACUGGGGCGGUCGCCUCCGAAAGGGUAUCGGAGGCGCUCAAAGGUUCCCUCAGAAUGGACGGAAACCAUUCGGAGAGCGCAAAGGCAUAAGGGAGCCUGACUGCGACACCGACGGGUGGAGCAGGUACGAAAGUAGGACUUAGUGAUCCGGUGGCAUAAAGUGGGAUUGCCAUCGCUCAACGGAUAAAAGCUACCCUGGGGAUAACAGGCUGAUCACUCCCAAGAGUUCACAUCGACGGAGUGGUUUGGCACCUCGAUGUCGGCUCAUCGCAUCCUGGGGCUGUAGCAGGUCCCAAGGGUUGGGCUGUUCGCCCAUUAAAGCGGUACGCGAGCUGGGUUCAGAACGUCGUGAGACAGUUCGGUCCCUAUCCGGCGCGGGCGUAGGAUAACUGAGGGGAGCUGUCCUUAGUACGAGAGGACCGGGAUGGACGGACCGCUGGUGUACCUGUUGGCGACCAACGCCACGGCAGGGUAGCCAAGUCCGGCAGGGAUAAACGCUGAAGGCAUCUAAGCGUGAAGCCUCCCCCGAGAUGAGUUGUCCGCUGCGUAAGCGGUAAGACCCCUUGAAGACUACAAGGUAGAUAGGGCAUGGGUGUAAGUGCAGCAAUGUAUUAAGCUGAAUGCCACUAAUAGGUCGAAAGCUUAUCCUG